CCCUUAGAUGUUCUGGGCUGCACGCGCGCUACACUGAUGCACUCAACGAGUUUACGACCUUGCCCGAUAGGGUUGGGUAAUCUUUUUAAAAUGCAUCGUGAUGGGGAUAGAUUAUUGCAAUUAUUAAUCUUCAACGAGGAAUUCCUAGUAAGCGCGAGUCAUCAGCUCGCGUUGAUUACGUCCCUGCCCUUUGUACACACCGCCCGUCGCUCCUACCGAUUGAAUGGUCCGGUGAAAUGUUCGGACCGCGACAAGGCGGACGGUUCGCUGUCAGCUUUGCUGCGGGAAGUUCAUUAAACCUUAUCAUUUAGAGGAAGGAGAAGUCGUAACA
RNAcentral lists this ribosomal RNA (331 nucleotides) under uncultured eukaryote. RNAcentral's name for it is "partial 18S ribosomal RNA". It matches the Rfam family "Eukaryotic small subunit ribosomal RNA", at positions 1470 to 1796 of the family's 1831-position model. The record is from RNAcentral.